GACGAACGCUGGCGGCAGGCCUAACACAUGCAAGUCGAGCGCCCUUUCGGGGGCGCGGCGGACGGGUGAGUAACGCGUGGGAAUAUGCCCUUCUCUACGGAAUAGCCUCGGGAAACUGAGAGUAAUACCGUAUACGCCCUGUGGGGGAAAGAUUUAUCGGGGAAGGAUUAGCCCGCGUUGGAUUAGGUAGUUGGUGGGGUAAUGGCCUACCAAGCCGACGAUCCAUAGCUGGUUUGAGAGGAUGAUCAGCCACACUGGGACUGAGACACGGCCCAGACUCCUACGGGAGGCAGCAGUGGGGAAUCUUAGACAAUGGGGGCAACCCUGAUCUAGCCAUGCCGCGUGAGUGAUGAAGGCCUUAGGGUUGUAAAGCUCUUUCAGCUGGGAAGAUAAUGACGGUACCAGCAGAAGAAGCCCCGGCUAACUCCGUG
RNAcentral lists this ribosomal RNA (431 nucleotides) under uncultured bacterium. RNAcentral's name for it is "partial 16S ribosomal RNA". It matches the Rfam family "Bacterial small subunit ribosomal RNA", at positions 28 to 507 of the family's 1533-position model. The record is from RNAcentral.